This is a non-coding RNA of Rhamnusium bicolor, 72 nucleotides long. The record is from the annotation of a GenBank genome assembly. NCBI's taxonomy places the organism in Eukaryota, Metazoa, Arthropoda, Insecta, Coleoptera, Cerambycidae.
GGCUCAGUGAUUCAGUGCUUAUGCGUUAGGCUUGAGACCAAAGGGUCUUGGGUUCGAAUCCCAGCUAGGGCA